This 511-nucleotide ribosomal RNA is filed under the name uncultured bacterium. Its description in RNAcentral is "bacterial SSU rRNA". It matches the Rfam family "Bacterial small subunit ribosomal RNA", at positions 15 to 518 of the family's 1533-position model. The record is from RNAcentral.
GAUCAUGGCUCAGGAUGAACGCUAGCGACAGGCUUAACACAUGCAAGUCGAGGGGCAGCAUAGAAGUAGCAAUACUUGGUGGCGACCGGCGCACGGGUGAGUAACGCGUAUGCAACCUACCUAUCAGAGGGGAAUAACCCGGCGAAAGUCGGACUAAUACCGCAUAAAACAGGGGCACCGCAUGGUGAUAUUUGUUAAAGAAAUUCGCUGAUAGAUGGGCAUGCGUUCCAUUAGGUAGUUGGUGAGGUAACGGCUCACCAAGCCGACGAUGGAUAGGGGAACUGAGAGGUUGGUCCCCCACACUGGUACUGAGACACGGACCAGACUCCUACGGGAGGCAGCAGUGAGGAAUAUUGGUCAAUGGGCGGGAGCCUGAACCAGCCAAGUCGCCGUGAAGGAAGAAGGAUCUAUGGUUCGUAAACUUCUUUUGCAGGGGAAUAAAGUGCAGGACGUGUCCUGUUUUGUAUGUACCCUGAGAAUAAGGAUCGGCUAACUCCGUGCCAGCCGCAGC